GAAAAUACAUAAUGGAAACAGUACAGAAGAGAGGGACAUAUUUUAAAUGACAUCAUAUGGAUUUAACUGAAACCUGAAGCAUCAGAAUUGAAAUCUAAAGCAUCAGAAAUCAUAGUAGGAGACAAAUCAACUAAUUUGCUCAUCAAGUAUUUUCUGAAAAGGUGGAUUGCUGCUUCAAAGGACCUGGACCCAGAGGCCCUGUCCAUGAAUGUUUCUUGCUUGGUUCCGAGGCCACCAAACAUACUGGCUGAGCCUUCUGUAUUCACCCUGGCCUAUCAAUGCCAUCUAUGAGAGCAGCCACACUGAGAGAGCAGCAGCAUGGAGCCUACUCAAGGGUUUGUUUCAAAAAUAUAUGGAAAACAAGAAAAACCAAAAGAGGAAACCAUUUCUAAUGAGGAGACUAGUUCAAUUAUUCUGAAGUCAAGCCCUGCUAAUCAAGGAGUUGGACCGACUGUGACAUUUGGGGAAGCCCCACAGAACAGGUCCUAAAUAUUACUGAGGAUCUCUCAUCUUCUAGGUGAAGCUCACAAAAUUGCCCUGGAGGUUGCUGCCUUCCUGGAAGCCAGAGUGAAAAAAAAAAAGAGGACAUGCAGUUGCACAUGGGAGGAUUUUGUGGGCCAUGGUUAUCAGGGCACAAUCCCUUAGCUCACCUUUCUCUGGUGAGAAAACACUUCCAGUGCCACACCUCAGUCUCCUCCCUCUGGUGAAAAAAACACUUCCAGUGCCACACCUCAGCCUCCUUCCUCUGGUGAAAAAACAGUUCCAGUGCCAUACCUCAGCCUUUCCUCUGGUAAAAAACACUUCCAGUGCCACACCUCAGCCUCCCUCCUCUGGUGAAAAAACACUUCCAGUGCUACACCUCAGCCUCCUUCCUCUGGUGAAAAAAUACUUCCAGAGCCACACCUUACCCUCCUUCCUCUGGUGAGAAACUACUUCCAGUGCCACACCUCAGCCUCCUUCCUCUGGUGACAAAACACUUCCAGUGCCACAACUCAGCCUCCUUCGACUGGUGAGAAAACACUUCCAGUGCCACACCUCAGCCUCCUUCCUCUGCUGAGAAAACACUUCCAGUGCCACAGCUCAGCCUCCUUCCUCUGGUCACAAAACACUUCCAGUACUACACAUCACUGCUGGAGAACUGGAGAGUGGAGUCUUCCAGCCCAAGAAGAAAGAAAUAUAGGAUUUUGUCAAGUACCAGAAGUUUCUGCCACACUCAGUGGGCAUUCUUUGAGUUAGUUUUUUUAGUAUAUUUCACUAAAAACUGUGAGAGAGGAACCCUUAAUAUAGGUCCUGCAAAAAACAAGUAUUCAAUAAAUCCUGUUGAAUCAAUAAAUGAAUCACCUCUUCCAAAAUAAGCUUAAUUGUUUAAGUUACUAGCAAAAUGCCUAAAUGAAAAUUAACCAUUCUAUAGAGACAUUAUUGAGUUAGUUCAUUCAGCCAUUCAAUAAAUGUAUUCAGUGUAUGUUUAUAGAAUAACUAUAAUUUACCAACUGUUUUAGGCAUGGGGGGUACAGCAGUGAAUAAAAUCAUCCAACUACCUAUUCUAACAGAGAUUAAAUUCUAGUGGUACAAGCAGCAGACGAACAAAUGAAUAAUUUCAUAUAUUCAUCCAUGCAAUAAUAUUGAAAAUUUUAUUUUCAAUAAAUAAUCAGUGGUCCUCAACCUUUUCGGCAUCAGGGAACAAUUUUGUGGAAAACAAUUUUUCUACAAACGGGUGGGAGAAUGGUUUCAGGAUGAUUCAAGCACAUUACCUUUAUUGUGCACUUUAUUUCUAUUAUUACUGCAUUGUAAUAUAUAAUGAAAUAAUUAUACAACUCAUCAUAAUGUAGAAUCAGUGGGAGCCCUG
Molecule: long non-coding RNA, 1846 nt
Filed under: Homo sapiens (human)
Lineage: Eukaryota; Metazoa; Chordata; Mammalia; Primates; Hominidae
Description: HSALNT0213938
Source: RNAcentral